This 457-nucleotide ribosomal RNA is filed under the name uncultured bacterium. RNAcentral's name for it is "bacterial SSU rRNA". It matches the Rfam family "Bacterial small subunit ribosomal RNA", at positions 355 to 825 of the family's 1533-position model. The record is from RNAcentral.
UCGAGAAUCUUCCGCAAUGGGCGAAAGCCUGACGGAGCGACGCCGCGUGCAGGAUGAAGGCCUUCGGGUUGUAAACUGCUGUCACGCUAUAGGAAAAGCCUUCGGGCCUUGACCAAAGCGAGAGGAAGCACCGGCUAACUCCGUGCCAGCAGCCGCGGUAAGACGGAGGGUGCAAACGUUGCUCGGAAUCACUGGGCAUAAAGCGCACGUAGGCGGCCAACUAAGUCAGGUGUGAAAGCCCCCGGCUCAACCGGGGAAUUGCUCCUGAUACUGGUUGGCUAGAGGACGGUAGGGGUGAGUGGAACUCCAGGUGGAGCGGUGAAAUGCGUAGAUAUCUGGAGGAACACCGGUGGCGAAAGCGGCUCACUGGACCGUGUCUGACGCUGAGGUGCGAAAGCUAGGGUAGCGAACGGGAUUAGAUACCCUGGUAGUCCCUGAGCGGGCUGGCAAGGCGCAU